GACGAACGCUGGCGGCGUGCUUAACACAUGCAAGUCGAACGGAAAGGCCCUGCUUUUGUGCGGUGCUCGAGUGGCGAACGGGUGAGUAACACGUGAGUAACCUGCCCUUGUCUUUGGGAUAACUUCAGGAAACUGGGGCUAAUACCGGAUAGGAGCUCCUGCUGCAUGGUGGGGGUUGGAAAGUUUCGGCGGUUGGGGAUGGACUCGCGGCUCAUCAGCAUGUUGGUGUGGUAGUGGCUUACCAAGGCUUUGACGGGUAGCCGGCCUGAGAGGGUGACCGGCAACAUUGGGACUGAGAUAGGGACCAGACUCCUACGGGAGGGAGCGGUGGGGAAUGGUGCACAAUGGGAGGAAGCCUGAUGCAGAAACGCCGCGGGCGGGAGAGCGGCCUUCGGGUUGUAAACCGAUUUCGCCUGUGACGAAGCGUGAGUGACGGUAAUGGGUAAAGAAGCACCGGCUAACUACGUG
RNAcentral lists this ribosomal RNA (468 nucleotides) under uncultured bacterium. Its description in RNAcentral is "partial 16S ribosomal RNA". It matches the Rfam family "Bacterial small subunit ribosomal RNA", at positions 28 to 507 of the family's 1533-position model. The record is from RNAcentral.